Molecule: ribosomal RNA, 353 nt
Filed under: uncultured bacterium
Lineage: Bacteria
Description: bacterial SSU rRNA
Rfam family: Bacterial small subunit ribosomal RNA
Source: RNAcentral
GAGUUUGAUUCCUGGCUCAGGAUGAACGCUAGCUACAGGCUUAACACAUGCAAGUCGAGGGGAAACGACAUCGAAAGCUUGCUUUUGAUGGGCGUCGACCGGCGCACGGGUGAGUAACGCGUAUCCAACCUGCCCAUCACUUGGGGAUAACCUUGCGAAAGUAAGACUAAUACCCAAUGAUAUCUCUAGAAGACAUCUGAAAGAGAUUAAAGAUUUAUCGGUGAUGGAUGGGGAUGCGUCUGAUUAGCUUGGUUGGCGGGUAACGGCCACAAGGCUACGAUCAGUAGGGGUUCUGAGACGGAAGGUCCCCCANAUUGGAACUGAGACACGGUCCAAACGUCCUACGGGAGGCA